AGGGCAGCCAAGUCGUGAGGCGGAGCUAAUCCCUUUAAAGCCAUUCUCAGUUCGGAUUGUAGGCUGAAACUCGCCUACAUGAAGCUGGAGUUACUAGUAAUCGCAGAUCAGAAUGCUGCGGUGAAUGCGUUCCCGGGUCUUGUACACACCGCCCGUCACACCACGGAAGUUGGGGGCGCCCGAAGCCACUUAGCUAACCCUUUUGGGAAGCGAGUGUCGAAGGUGAAAUCAAUAACUGGGGUGAAGUCGUAACAAGGUACC
RNAcentral lists this ribosomal RNA (261 nucleotides) under uncultured bacterium. RNAcentral's name for it is "partial 16S ribosomal RNA". It matches the Rfam family "Bacterial small subunit ribosomal RNA", at positions 1243 to 1500 of the family's 1533-position model. The record is from RNAcentral.